UACAGAGGGGGCAAGCGUUGUUCGGAAUUACUGAGCGUAAAGGGCGCGUAGGCGGCCUGCUAAGUCGGAUGUGAAAUCCCCAGGCUUAACCUGGGAACUGCAUCCGAUACUGGAUGGCUUGAAUCCGGGAGAGGGAUGCAGAAUUCCAGGUGCAGCGGUGAAAUGCGUAGAUAUCUGGAGGAAUACCGGUGGCGAAGGCGGCAUCCUGGACCGGCAUUGACGCUGAUGAGCGAAAGCCAGGGGAGCAAACGGG
This 253-nucleotide ribosomal RNA is filed under the name uncultured bacterium. Its description in RNAcentral is "partial 16S ribosomal RNA". It matches the Rfam family "Bacterial small subunit ribosomal RNA", at positions 524 to 776 of the family's 1533-position model. The record is from RNAcentral.